This 1859-nucleotide long non-coding RNA is filed under the name Calidris pugnax (ruff). RNAcentral describes it as "lncRNA (ENSCPUG00000004272.1)". The record is from RNAcentral. Lineage: Eukaryota; Metazoa; Chordata; Aves; Charadriiformes; Scolopacidae.
CCAGGCUACAAAUAAACCACUCAAACGGACGCCUCUUGUUCUAAUCACCCCAUAAAAUGUAUUUAAGCGACCAGACGGAGACUUUCCAGGCCUUUAUUUAUCUAUUUAUUAUUGUGGCUGACCGGAGCAUCCUUCUCCUAAAGAGCCCGGUGCCAAACGCCGUGAGUUAUGCAAAGGCAGGAGAGGGACGGGGCGGGAAACGCGGCCGUAACUCACCCCCCAACACAGACGGGGGGAUUUUGGGGGGCGGGGGGCACCCCAGACCUCUCCAUAAAGGCUUUGUGCCCCCCCCAUGACCCCAUGGGCCUUUUGCCGGGUUCUGCUGAGGGUGUAGCUUGGUGGGGUGUCACCCUCCAGGACUUUGGAGGGACAUCGAAGCCUUAAAUGGGGUAAUUUUGGGGGUUUUGAGUAGAAAAGGUGUUUUCUGACACCCGUUCCCACUCGGCUGAGUUAUAUUUGAGCUGUUCCUCCCCAAAAAUCUGCUUUGCAGAGGGGGUGCAAGGUGGCUCCCCCCAUCCCGCAUCCAAUUCCCGGUUCUGGCGUCUCCCACCCAGGCUCUUGGUUGGGAUGUGGUGGUGGGAUGUUCCAAGGAGGUGGUGGGAUGCUCUGGGGAGAUGUGGGAUGCUCCAAAGAGAUGGAGGGAUGGUCCAAAGUGGAGGGAUGCUCCAAGGUGGAGGAACGCUCUGACAAGGUGGUGGGAUGCUCUGAUGAGGUGGUGGGAUGCUCUGAUGAGUUGACGGGAUGCUCCAAGGUGAAGGGGCACUCCAAGGUGGAGGGAUCCUCUGACAAGGUGGAGGGAUCCUCUGAUGAGGUGGAGGGAUGCUCCGAUGAGGUUGAGGGAUGUUCCAACAAGGUUGAGGGAUGUUCCAACAAGGUUGAGGGAUGCUUUAUUGGUGGAGGGAUGGUCUGACAAGGUGGUGGGAUGCUCCGAAGAGGUGGUGGGAUGUUCCAACAAGGUUGAGGGAUGCUUUAUUGGUGGAGGGAUGGUCUGACAAGGUGGUGGGAUGCUCUGAUGAGGUGGUGGGAUGCUCUGACGAGGGGAUGGUAUGCUCUGAUGAGGUGGAAGGAUGUUCUGAUGAGGUGGUGGGAUGCUCCGAAGAGGUGGUGGGAUGUUCCAACAUCCGAUGAGGUGGAGGGAUGUUCUAAAGAGUUGACAGGAUGCUCCGAGGUGGAGGGAUGCUCUGACAAGGUGGCGGAAUGCUCCGAUGAGGUGGUGGGAUGCUCCGACAAGGUGGAGGGAUGUUCCAAGGUGGAGGGAUGCUCUGACAAGGUGGUGGGAUAGUCCAAUGAGGUGGUUGGAUGUUCUGAUGAGGUGGUGGGAUGCUCCAAGGUGGUGGGAUGCUCUGAUGAGGGGAUGGGAUGCUCUGAUGAGGUGGAAGGAUGAUCUGAUGAGGUGAUGGGAUGCCCUGACAAGGUGGAGGUUGAGGUUGAGUUCCAAUGAGGUGAUGGGAUGCUCUGACAAGUUGGAGGGAUGCUCCAAAGUGGUGGGAUGCUCUGACAAGGUGGUGGGAUGCUCUGAUGAGGUGGAAGGAUGUUCCAAUGAGGUGAUGGGAUGCUCUGACAAAGUCGAGGGAUGACCCAAAGUGGUGGGAUGCUCCGAUGAGGUUGAGAGAUGUUCCAACGAGGUUGAGGGAUGCUCUAUUGGUGGUGGGAUGGUCUGACAAGGUGGUGGGAUGCUCCGAAGAGGUGGUGGGAUGUUCCAACAAGGUUGAGGGAUGCUCUAACAAGGCGGAGGGAUGCUCCAAGGUGGGGGGAUGCUCUGAUCCCUCAUCAGAAGGAUGCUCAAGCCGAGGUGGAGGGAUGAUCCAACAAGGUGCUGAGAUGCUCCCAAGUUGGAGGGGACGCUCCGACCCCUCCUC